GGGGGGAUAGCUCAGUGGUAGAGCACAUGCUUAGCAUGCAUGAGGUCCUGAGUUCAAUCCCCAGUAUCUCCU
This 72-nucleotide transfer RNA is filed under the name Camelus bactrianus (Bactrian camel). It matches the Rfam family "tRNA". Rfam says of the family: Transfer RNA (tRNA) molecules are approximately 80 nucleotides in length. Their secondary structure includes four short double-helical elements and three loops (D, anti-codon, and T loops). RNAcentral also lists the same sequence under 2 other names. The record is from Rfam by way of RNAcentral. Lineage: Eukaryota; Metazoa; Chordata; Mammalia; Artiodactyla; Camelidae.